Molecule: ribosomal RNA, 940 nt
Filed under: uncultured Hohenbuehelia
Lineage: Eukaryota; Fungi; Basidiomycota; Agaricomycetes; Agaricales; Pleurotaceae
Description: eukaryotic LSU rRNA
Rfam family: 5.8S ribosomal RNA (bases 377-530)
Source: RNAcentral
UCUCCGGAUUGGCUUUGGGGAGCCGGCAACGGCACCCUAUUGCUGAGAAGCUGAUCAAACUUGGUCAUUUAGAGGAAGUAAAAGUCGUAACAAGGUUUCCGUAGGUGAACCUGCGGAAGGAUCAUUAUUGAAUUCGCCGCGAAGUUGUUGCUGGCCCAAUGUGGCAUGUGCACACUUCGUAAAGCAUUUCAACCACCUGUGAACUUUUUGUAGUCUUUGGGGGAUGCCACAGCUCAAAGGAAACUUUGGAUUUGAGUGCUGCGGGCUUGCAAAAGUCGGCUUCAUUCUGCAGCUGAACCCGGGUCUAUGCUUUAUAUACCCUAAUUGUAUGUCUAUGAAUGUGAUUCAAGGGCUUUAAUGCCUUUAAAUCUUAUACAACUUUCAGCAACGGGUCUCUUGGCUCUCGCAUCGAUGAAGAACGCAGCGAAAUGCGAUAAGUAAUGUGAAUUGCAGAAUUCAGUGAAUCAUCGAAUCUUUGAACGCACCUUGCGCCCCUUGGUAUUCCGAGGGGCAUGCCUGUUUGAGUGUCAUUAAAUUCUCAACCUUUAGAAGGCUUUUGAAGUCGUCUUAAGGCUUGGAUGUGGAGGUUGCGGGCCCUAUUGGUCGGCUCCUCUUAAAUGCAUUAGCUGGGUUUGCGCCUUCAGCCUAUUGGUGUGAUAAUUAUCUACGCCUCUGGGUCGUUAGCGUGUUAUACUUCUCUAGCUUCUAACCGUCCGCAAGGACAAUACUUGACCAUUUGACCUCAAAUCAGGUAGGACUACCCGCUGAACUUAAGCAUAUCAAUAAGCGGAGGAAAAGAAACUAACAAGGAUUCCCCUAGUAACUGCGAGUGAAGCGGGAAAAGCUCAAAUUUGUAAUCUGGCGGUCUUGGGCCGUCCGAAUUGUAAACUAGAGAAGUGUUAUCCGCGCUGGACCGUGUACAAGUCCCCUGGAAUGGGGC